RNAcentral lists this unclassified non-coding RNA (290 nucleotides) under uncultured fungus. Its description in RNAcentral is "sequence contains ITS1". The record is from RNAcentral. Lineage: Eukaryota; Fungi.
GUAUUUUGUUUUUUAAAGGCACAACAGGCCAUUUGACAACAUUCUGUUACAUUCUUGUGGGGUAUAAUAAAAACAUAGACCUGAAAUGCAAGGAAAGCUGACUUUUUUUUUUUUUAGCACAGCAGUCCUCAAACAGAGUUUCCUCACAGAGGUAACUUGUAACUCCAGAUCUACAAAGGGUGCACAGGUGGUUAAAAAGUGGCAUUAGGUGUGCACAUGCUCUUAAGAGCCAGCAGCAACCCAACCAAGUUUAUUCAAUAAUGAUCCUUCCGCAGGUUCACCUACGGAAA